This 597-nucleotide ribosomal RNA is filed under the name Triticum aestivum (bread wheat). RNAcentral's name for it is "partial small subunit ribosomal RNA". The record is from RNAcentral. Lineage: Eukaryota; Viridiplantae; Streptophyta; Magnoliopsida; Poales; Poaceae.
AUGGCGCAGGUGAUCUUGUGGGCCGAUGGCAGCCUAGCCCCAAACCCCGACGGCGGCGAGUCCUUCGCCAAGUUCUUCGAGUGGUGGAUCUUGGAGCAGUCCCGUGACUUGGCCGCGCUUCGCGCCACGGCGACGGCGCAGCCCGACGACGCUGACCCCCGGCGCCUCGUCGACCGUGUCCUCAGCCACAACGAGCACUACUACCGCGCCAAGUCCGCGGCCGCCUCCGCCGACGUGCUCCUCAUGUUCGCGCCCUCGUGGAUCUCCGUCACCGAGAGCCUCUACCUCUGGUGCGGCGGCUGGCGCCCCACUGCAGCGAUCCAGCUGCUCUAUUCCAAGUCCGGCGUGCAGCUCGAGUCCCAGCUCCCGGCCUUCCUCGAAGGCGGCAGCCUCUCCGCCGAGCAGCUCCUACUCCACCCGGCCGCCGCGCGCUCCUACUCCGCCCGGCACGGCCACACGCGCUCCUCCUCCGCCCUGGCCAUGCGGACGCCGUCCCGUCCGCUCCCUGGCCUCGCCGUCUCCCGUCCGGACGAGCUCCCGCGGCGUCAGCGACGAGCUGUCGCGGCUUCGGACGCGCGCGCGCGAGCAGGCAGGUAG